RNAcentral lists this transfer RNA (83 nucleotides) under Actinomycetota bacterium. RNAcentral describes it as "tRNA-Leu". It matches the Rfam family "tRNA". Rfam says of the family: Transfer RNA (tRNA) molecules are approximately 80 nucleotides in length. Their secondary structure includes four short double-helical elements and three loops (D, anti-codon, and T loops). Further hydrogen bonds mediate the characteristic L-shaped molecular structure. tRNAs have two regions of fundamental functional importance: the anti-codon, which is responsible for specific mRNA codon recognition, and the 3' end, to which the tRNAs corresponding amino acid is attached (by aminoacyl-tRNA synthetases). tRNAs cope with the degeneracy of the genetic code in two manners: having more than one tRNA (with a specific anti-codon) for a particular amino acid; and 'wobble' base-pairing, i.e. permitting non-standard base-pairing at the 3rd anti-codon position. Lineage: Bacteria; Bacillati; Actinomycetota. The record is from RNAcentral.
GGGCGAGUGGUGGAAUGGCAGACACGCAGGGUUCAGGACCCUGUGGCCGCAAGGCCGUGGGGGUUCAAAUCCCCCCUCGCCCA